This 573-nucleotide ribosomal RNA is filed under the name uncultured bacterium. RNAcentral describes it as "partial 16S ribosomal RNA". It matches the Rfam family "Bacterial small subunit ribosomal RNA", at positions 355 to 919 of the family's 1533-position model. The record is from RNAcentral.
UGGGGAAUAUUGCACAAUGGGCGCAAGCCUGAUGCAGCCAUGCCGCGUGUGUGAAGAAGGCCUUCGGGUUGUAAAGCACUUUCAGCGAGGAGGAAGGUGGUGAACUUAAUACGUUCAUCAAUUGACGUUACUCGCAGAAGAAGCACCGGCUAACUCCGUGCCAGCAGCCGCGGUAAUACGGAGGGUGCAAGCGUUAAUCGGAAUUACUGGGCGUAAAGCGCACGCAGGCGGUUUGUUAAGUCAGAUGUGAAAUCCCCGGGCUCAACCUGGGAACUGCAUUUGAAACUGGCAAGCUAGAGUCUCGUAGAGGGGGGUAGAAUUCCAGGUGUAGCGGUGAAAUGCGUAGAGAUCUGGAGGAAUACCGGUGGCGAAGGCGGCCCCCUGGACGAAGACUGACGCUCAGGUGCGAAAGCGUGGGGCAGCAAACAGGAUUAGAUACCCUGGUAGUCCACGCUGUAAACGAUGUCGAUUUGGAGGUUGUGCCCUUGAGGCGUGGCUUCCGGAGCUAACGCGUUAAAUCGACCGCCUGGGGAGUACGGCCGCAAGGUUAAAACUCAAAUGAAUUGACGGGUC